RNAcentral lists this ribosomal RNA (254 nucleotides) under uncultured bacterium. RNAcentral describes it as "partial 16S ribosomal RNA". It matches the Rfam family "Archaeal small subunit ribosomal RNA", at positions 474 to 728 of the family's 1478-position model. The record is from RNAcentral.
UACCAGCACCCCGAGUGAUCGGGACGUUUAUUGGGCCUAAAGCAUCCGUAGCCGGUUCUACAAGUCUUCCGUUAAAUCCAACUGCUUAACAGGUGGGCUGCGGAAGAUACUAUAGAGCUAGGAGGCGGGAGAGGCAAGCGGUACUCGAUGGGUAGGGGUAAAAUCCGUUGAUCCAUUGAAGACCACCAGUGGCGAAGGCGGCUUGCCAGAACGCGCUCGACGGUGAGGGAUGAAAGCUGGGGGAGCAAACCGGG